RNAcentral lists this ribosomal RNA (468 nucleotides) under uncultured bacterium. Its description in RNAcentral is "partial 16S ribosomal RNA". It matches the Rfam family "Bacterial small subunit ribosomal RNA", at positions 28 to 507 of the family's 1533-position model. The record is from RNAcentral.
GACGAACGCUGGCGGCGUGCUUAACACAUGCAAGUCGAACGGAAAGGCCCUGCUUUUGUGGGGUGCUCGAGUGGCGAACGGGUGAGUAACACGUGAGUAACCUUCCCUUGACUUUGGGAUAACUUCAGGAAACUGGGGCUAAUACCGGCUAGGAGCUCCUGCUGCAUGGGGGGGGUUGGAAAGUUUCGGCGGUUGGGGAUGGACUCGCGGCUUAUCAGCUUGUUGGUGGGGUAGUGGCUUACCAAGGCUUUGACGGGUAGCCGGCCUGAGAGGGUGACCGGCGACAAUGGGACUGAGAUACGGACCAGACUCCUACGGGAGGCAGCAGUGGGGAAUAUUGCACAAUGGGCGGAAGCCUGAUGCAGCAACGCCGCGUGCGGGAUGACGGCCUUCGGGUUGUAAACCGCUUUCGCCUGUGACGAAGCGUGAGUGACGGUAAUGGGUAAAGAAGCACCGGCUAACUACGUG